GACGAACGCUGGCGGCGUGCUUAACACAUGCAAGUCGAACGGAAAGGCCCUGCUUUUGUGGGGUGCUCGAGUGGCGAACGGGUGAGUAACACGUGAGUAACCUGCCCUUGACUUUGGGAUAACUUCAGGAAACUGGGGCUAAUACCGGAUAGGAGCUCCUGCUGCAUGGUGGGGGUUGGAAAGUUUCGGCGGUUGGGGAUGGACUCGCGGCUUAUCAGCUUGUUGGUGGGGUAGUGGCUUACCAAGGCUUUGACGGGUAGCCGGCCUGAGAGGGUGACCGGCCACAUUGGGACUGAGAUACGGCCCAGGCUCCUACGGGAGGCAGCAGUGGGGAAUAUUGCACAAUGGGCGGAAGCCUGAUGCAGCAACGCCGCGUGCGGGAUGACGGCCUUCGGGUUGUAAACCGCUUUCGCCUGUGACGAAGCGUGAGUGACGGUAAUGGGUAAAGAAGCACCGGCUAACUACGUGCCAGCAGCCGCGGUGAUACGUAGGGUGCGAGCGUUGUCCGGAUUUAUUGGGCGUAAAGGGCUCGUAGGUGGUUGAUCGCGUCGGAAGUGUAAUCUUGGGGCUUAACCCUGAGCGUGCUUUCGAUACGGGUUGACUUGAGGAAGGUAGGGGAGAAUGGAAUUCCUGGUGGAGCGGUGGAAUGCGCAGAUAUCAGGAGGAACACCAGUGGCGAAGGCGGUUCUCUGGGCCUUUCCUGACGCUGAGGAGCGAAAGCGUGGGGAGCGAACAGGCUUAGAUACCCUGGUAGUCCACGCUGUAAACGGUGGGUACUAGGUGUGGGGUCCAUUCCACGGGUUCCGUGCCGUAGCUAACGCUUUAAGUACCCCGCCUGGGGAGUACGGCCGCAAGGCUAAAACUCAAAGGAAUUGACGGGGCCCCGCACAAGCGGCGGAGCAUGCGGAUUAAUUCGAUGCAACGCGUAGAACCUUACCUGGGUUUGACAUGGAUCGGGAGUGCUCAGAGAUGGGUGUGCCUCUUUUGGGGUCGGUUCACAGGUGGUGCAUGGCUGUCGUCAGCUCGUGUCGUGAGAUGUUGGGUUAAGUCCCGCAACGAGCGCAACCCUUGUUCACUGUUGCCAGCACGUUAUGGUGGGGACUCAGUGGAGACCGCCGGGGUCAACUCGGAGGAAGGUGGGGAUGACGUCAAGUCAUCAUGCCCCUUAUGUCCAGGGCUUCACGCAUGCUACAAUGGCUGGUACAGAGAGUGGCGAGCCUGUGAGGGUGAGCGAAUCUCGGAAAGCCGGUCUCAGUUCGGAUUGGGGUCUGCAACUCGACCUCAUGAAGUCGGAGUCGCUAGUAAUCGCAGAUCAGCAACGCUGCGGUGAAUACGUUCCCGGG
Molecule: ribosomal RNA, 1343 nt
Filed under: uncultured bacterium
Lineage: Bacteria
Description: 16S ribosomal RNA
Rfam family: Bacterial small subunit ribosomal RNA
Source: RNAcentral